UGGGGCAUAUUGCACAAUGGGCGCAAGCCUGAUGCAGCCAUGCCGCGUGUAUGAAGAAGGCCUUCGGGUUGUAAAGUACUUUCAGCGAGGAGGAAGGCGGUAAGGUUAAUAACCUUAUCGAUUGACGUUACUCGCAGAAGAAGCACCGGCUAACUCCGUGCCAGCAGCCGCGGUAAUACGGAGGGUGCAAGCGUUAAUCGGAAUUACUGGGCGUAAAGCGCACGCAGGCGGUCUGUCAAGUCGGAUGUGAAAUCCCCGGGCUCAACCUGGGAACUGCAUUCGAAACUGGCAGGCUAGAGUCUUGUAGAGGGGGGUAGAAUUCCAGGUGUAGCGGUGAAAUGCGUAGAGAUCUGGAGGAAUACCGGUGGCGAAGGCGGCCCCCUGGACAAAGACUGACGCUCAGGUGCGAAAGCGUGGGGAGCAAACA
RNAcentral lists this ribosomal RNA (427 nucleotides) under uncultured bacterium. Its description in RNAcentral is "partial 16S ribosomal RNA". It matches the Rfam family "Bacterial small subunit ribosomal RNA", at positions 355 to 774 of the family's 1533-position model. The record is from RNAcentral.